This 320-nucleotide ribosomal RNA is filed under the name uncultured Prevotella sp. RNAcentral's name for it is "bacterial SSU rRNA". It matches the Rfam family "Bacterial small subunit ribosomal RNA", at positions 28 to 339 of the family's 1533-position model. Lineage: Bacteria; Pseudomonadati; Bacteroidota; Bacteroidia; Bacteroidales; Prevotellaceae. The record is from RNAcentral.
GAUGAACGCUAGCUACAGGCUUAACACAUGCAAGUCGAGGGGCAGCAUGACGAUAGCUUGCUAUUGUCGAUGGCGACCGGCGCACGGGUGAGUAACGCGUAUCCAACCUUCCCCAUAGUAGGGCAUAGCCCGUAGAAAUGCGGAUUAAUACCCUAUGUUUUCCGAAGCAGGCAUCUAAUUCGGAACAAAGGUUCACCGCUAUGGGAUGGGGAUGCGUCUGAUUAGGUUGUUGGCGGGGUAACGGCCCACCAAGCCCUCGAUCAGUAGGGGUUCUGAGAGGAAGGUCCCCCACAUUGGAACUGAGACACGGUCCAAACUCC